RNAcentral lists this unclassified non-coding RNA (563 nucleotides) under Hevea brasiliensis (rubber tree). Lineage: Eukaryota; Viridiplantae; Streptophyta; Magnoliopsida; Malpighiales; Euphorbiaceae. The record is from RNAcentral.
AUUUUAUUUUAAGAAAUUAAAGUUCAAGGACGGAAAUGAAUUAAUCCCCUAAGUUUAGGGACAGUUGGUGCAAUUAAGCCCCUUAAUAUUGCAAGCAGCUUCAAGUUCAUCUGUUCAUGGUAGGUUAAAAAAAGCUAGCAUGAGCUACACUUAUCCAUUCAUUGAUGCUUUCUAAAUGCAUAUGCAUUUACUCUCAGAACUUGUACACUAAAUAAAAUCUCUCCCUUUACCAUAGCAGCAGCACCAUAUUUGCAAAAUAAAAAUCAAGAUCUACCUUGCAUAGUUCUAUGAAUUCACAUUGGCAAAUAGCUAAAUAGCUAAACCAAGUUUAUAUGACAUCAAUUGCACAAAAUAUUCCAGGGAAAAGUUCAAAAUUAUAUCUUGUGGUUCAAAGCUUAACACCUUUUCAGUGGGGCUGUGCACGGUUCCUAAAGGUUCCGAAGCAAACCGAAGAAUCGUACUAGAAUUGAAAAAGAACAAUUACUGUAAGAACCAAAUUGAACUUAUUUUUACUGUUUUGGUUUUGAUUCUUCAUCAGAAAUCGUACCGAAACAAAACCGAAG